GGAAGAGGCUCGCAAUUGGAGCGGUUGACGGGCGUCGCUGAAGGAGGAAGGGGGCGAAAAAGACACGGGGGACCUUGGAGGACUUCAUGAUCCAAGACGGACCCAAGGCAGCAGAAUUAAGGACAAAGAAGAGACAAAUCUGUUGAUACAGGGUACAUCUGAAAGAGAAAAGGCAGAGUGAAAAGAAACCUUUCUAGAUCUCUUGGCAGAUGUGAACAGAUUCGCCCUCUAUAUGAGUGUAAAAAGAGAAGAAGAUACCAUUGCAGCCUGUAGAAGCUGGAAAAGGCAAGGAAAUAAAGUCUCCCCUAGAACCUCGGGAAGGAAGGCGUCUCUGUUGACACCUUGACUUUAGUU
This is a long non-coding RNA of Zalophus californianus (California sea lion), 354 nucleotides long. RefSeq lists it as uncharacterized. The record is from RefSeq and is a predicted model, not a curated record. The transcript is spliced from 3 exons. NCBI's taxonomy places the organism in Eukaryota, Metazoa, Chordata, Mammalia, Carnivora, Otariidae.